GACGAACGCUGGCGGCGUGCUUAACACAUGCAAGUCGAACGGUGAAGCGCCUUCCUUGUUGGUGGGUGGGGAGGAGCGGCGAACGGGUGAGCAACACGAUAGUAACCUGCCCCGUUCGGCUGGACAACCGCAAGAAAGUGUGGCUACUACGGGAUAUUCUGAGUCUCACGCAUGAUGGGUGUGAGAAGGAUAUUGUGUCGGUUGGGGAUGGACUCGCGGCCUAUUAGCUUGUUGGUGGGGUGAUGGCCUACCAAGGCGGCGACGGGUAGCCGGCCUGAGAGGGUGGACGGUCACACUGGGACUGAGACCCGGCCCAGACUCCUACGGGAGGCAGCAGUGGGGAUUAUUGCACGAUGGGCGCAAGCCUGAUGCAGCGCCGCCGCGUGAGGGAUGGAGGCCUUCGGGUUGUGAACCUCUUUCGCCAGUGAAGCAGGCCUGCCUCGUUUGUGGGUGGGUUGACGGUAGCUGGAUAAGAAGCGCCGGCUAACUACGUG
RNAcentral lists this ribosomal RNA (494 nucleotides) under uncultured bacterium. Its description in RNAcentral is "partial 16S ribosomal RNA". It matches the Rfam family "Bacterial small subunit ribosomal RNA", at positions 28 to 507 of the family's 1533-position model. The record is from RNAcentral.